AGGGAUCAUUACACAAAUAUGAAGGCGGGCCGGAACCUCUCGGGGUUACAGCCUUGCUGAAUUAUUCACCCUUGUCUUUUGCGUACUUCUUGUUUCCUUGGUGGGUUCGCCCACCACUAGGACAAACAUAAACCUUUUGUAAUUGCAAUCAGCGUCAGUAACAAAUUAAUAAUUACAACUUUCAACAACGGAUCUCUUGGUUCUGGCAUCGAUGAAGAACGCAGCGAAAUGCGAUAAGUAGUGUGAAUUGCAGAAUUCAGUGAAUCAUCGAAUCUUUGAACGCACAUUGCGCCCUUUGGUAUUCCAAAGGGCAUGCCUGUUCGAGCGUCAUUUGUACCCUCAAGCUUUGCUUGGUGUUGGGCGUCUUGUCUCUAGCUUUGCUGGAGACUCGCCUUAAAGUAAUUGGCAGCCGGCCUACUGGUUUCGGAGCGCAGCACAAGUCGCACUCUCUAUCAGCAAAGGUCUAGCAUCCAUUAAGCCUUUUUUUCAACUUUUGACCUCGGAUCAGGUAGGGAUACCCGCUGAACUUAAGCAUAUCAAUAAGCGGAGGAAAAGAAACCAACAGGGAUUGCCCUAGUAACGGCGAGUGAAGCGGCAACAGCUCAAAUUUGAAAUCUGGCUCUUUUAGAGUCCGAGUUGUAAUUUGCAGAGGGCGCUUUGGCUUUGGCAGCGGUCCAAGUUCCUCGGAUCAGGACGUCACAGAGGGUGAGAAUCCCGUACGUGGUCGCUGGCUAUUGCCGUGUAAAGCCCCUUCGACGAGUCGAGUUGUUUGGGAAUGCAGCUCUAAAUGGGAGGUACAUUUCUUCUAAAGCUAAAUAUUGGCCAGAGACCGAUAGCGCACAAGUAGAGUGAUCGAAAGAUGAAAAGCACUUUGGAAAGAGAGUCAAACAGCACGUGAAAUUGUUGAAAGGGAAGCGCUUGCAGCCAGACUUGCCUACAGUUGCUCAUCCGGGUUUCUACCCGGUGCACUCUUCUGUAGGCAGGCCAGCAUCAGUUUGGGCGGUAGGAUAAAGGUCUCUGUCACGUACCUCCUUUCGGGGAGGCCUUAUAGGGGAGACGACAUACUACCAGCCUGGACUGAGGUCCGCGCAUCUGCUAGGAUGCUGGCGUAAUGGCUGUAAGCGGCC
This 1127-nucleotide ribosomal RNA is filed under the name uncultured Alternaria. RNAcentral's name for it is "eukaryotic LSU rRNA". The stretch from base 495 to 1127 matches the Rfam family "Eukaryotic large subunit ribosomal RNA", at positions 1 to 649 of the family's 3401-position model. The record is from RNAcentral. Lineage: Eukaryota; Fungi; Ascomycota; Dothideomycetes; Pleosporales; Pleosporaceae.